This 407-nucleotide ribosomal RNA is filed under the name uncultured bacterium. RNAcentral describes it as "partial 16S ribosomal RNA". It matches the Rfam family "Bacterial small subunit ribosomal RNA", at positions 28 to 526 of the family's 1533-position model. The record is from RNAcentral.
GACGAACGCUGGCGGCGUGCUUAACACAUGCAAGUCGAACGAAGUGGCGAACGGGUGAGUAAUACGUGGGUAACCUGCCCUCCUUUUUGGGAUAAGCCUUGGAAACGGAGUCUAAUACCGAAUAAAGGGGGAUGGGCUCGCGGCCUAUCAGCUUGUUGGUGGGGUGAUGCCUACCAAGGCGGUGACGGGUAGCCGGCCUGAGAGGGUAAACUGCCACAUUGGUACUGAGAUAUGGCCCAGACGCGUACGGGAGGCGGCAGUGGGGGAUAUUGCACAAUGGGCGAAUGGCUGAUGCAGCGUCGCCGCGUGGGGGAUGCAGACUUUCGGGUUGUAAUCUUCGUUCGCAAUCAAGCGGGUAGGUAGAGAAGAAGCGCCGGCUAACUACGGGCCAGCAGCCGCGGUAAUUC